ACUCCUGACUGACCGAUAGUGAACCAGUACCGUGAGGGAAAGGCGAAAAGAACCCCGGCGAGGGGAGUGAAAAAGAACCUGAAACCGUGUACGUACAAGCAGUGGGAGCCUCUUAAUGGGGUGACUGCGUACCUUUUGUAUAAUGGGUCAGCGACUUAUAUUCUGUAGCAAGGUUAACCGAAUAGGGGAGCCGAAGGGAAACCGAGUCUUAACUGGGCGUUAAGUUGCAGGGUAUAGACCCGAAACCCGGUGAUCUAGCCAUGGGCAGGUUGAAGGUUGGGUAACACUAACUGGAGGACCGAACCGACUAAUGUUGAAAAAUUAGCGGAUGACUUGUGGCUGGGGGUGAAAGGCCAAUCAAACCGGGAGAUAGCUGGUUCUCCCCGAAAGCUAUUUAGGUAGCGCCUCGUGAAUUCAUCUCCGGGGGUAGAGCACUGUUUCGGCAAGGGGGUCAUCCCGACUUACCAACCCGAUGCAAACUGCGAAUACCGGAGAAUGUUAUCACGGGAGACACACGGCGGGUGCUAACGUCCGUCGUGAAGAGGGAAACAACCCAGACCGCCAGCUAAGGUCCCAAAGUCAUGGUUAAGUGGGAAACGAUGUGGGAAGGCCCAGACAGCCAGGAUGUUGGCUUAGAAGCAGCCAUCAUUUAAAGAAAGCGUAAUAGCUCACUGGUCGAGUCGGCCUGCGCGGAAGAUGUAACGGGGCUAAACCAUG
RNAcentral lists this ribosomal RNA (717 nucleotides) under Escherichia coli. Its description in RNAcentral is "partial 23S ribosomal RNA". It matches the Rfam family "Bacterial large subunit ribosomal RNA", at positions 472 to 1191 of the family's 2925-position model. Lineage: Bacteria; Pseudomonadati; Pseudomonadota; Gammaproteobacteria; Enterobacterales; Enterobacteriaceae. The record is from RNAcentral.